This 492-nucleotide ribosomal RNA is filed under the name uncultured bacterium. RNAcentral describes it as "partial 16S ribosomal RNA". It matches the Rfam family "Bacterial small subunit ribosomal RNA", at positions 29 to 507 of the family's 1533-position model. The record is from RNAcentral.
AGUGAACGCUGGCGGUAGGCCUAACACAUGCAAGUCGAACGGCAGCACAGUAAGAGCUUGCUCUUACGGGUGGCGAGUGGCGGACGGGUGAGGAAUACAUCGGAAUCUACUUUUUCGUGGGGGAUAACGCAGGGAAACUUACGCUAAUACCGCAUACGACCUACGGGUGAAAGCAUGGGACCUUCCGCCCUCGCGUGAUCGAAUGAGCCGAUGUCGGAUUAGCUAGUUGGCGGGGUAAAGGCCCACCAAGGCGACGAUCCGUAGCUGGUCUGAGAGGAUGAUCAGCCACACUGGAACUGAGACACGGUCCAGACUCCUACGGGAGGCAGCAGUGGGGAAUAUUGGACAAUGGGCGCAAGCCUGAUCCAGCCAUACCGCGUGGGUGAAGAAGGCCUUCGGGUUGUAAAGCCCUUUUGUUGGGGAAGAAAAGCAGCAGGUUAAUACCCCGCUGUUCUGACGGUACCCAAAGAAUAAGCACCGGCUAACUUCGUG